This 451-nucleotide ribosomal RNA is filed under the name uncultured bacterium. RNAcentral's name for it is "bacterial SSU rRNA". It matches the Rfam family "Bacterial small subunit ribosomal RNA", at positions 28 to 507 of the family's 1533-position model. The record is from RNAcentral.
GGUGAACGCUGGCGGCGUGCCUAACACAUGCAAGUCGAGCGGUGCAGUUUGAAGCUUCGGUGGAAAGCUGCAUAGCGGCGGACGGGUGAGGAAAACGUAGGAACGUGCCCCUUGGAGUUGGAUAGCCACGGGAAACUGUGGGUAAACCGACAUAGACUCGAGAGAGUAAAGGCCGAAAGGCGCCAAGGGAGCGGCCUGCGGCCCAUCAGGUAGUUGGUAGUGUAAAGGACUACCAAGCCGACGACGGGUAGCCGGUCUGAGAGGAUGGCCGGCCACAAGGGCACUGAGAGACGGGCCCUACUCCUACGGGAGGCAGCAGUGGGGGAUUUUGGACAAUGGGCGAAAGCCUGAUCCAGCGACGCCGCGUGGAGGACGAAGCCCUUCGGGUGUAAACUCCUUUUCUCAGGAAAAGGAUGAUGGUACCUGAGGAAUAAGCCCGGCUAACUACGUG